RNAcentral lists this ribosomal RNA (386 nucleotides) under uncultured bacterium. RNAcentral describes it as "bacterial SSU rRNA". It matches the Rfam family "Bacterial small subunit ribosomal RNA", at positions 28 to 416 of the family's 1533-position model. The record is from RNAcentral.
GACGAACGCUGGCGGCGUGCUUAACACAUGCAAGUCGAGCGGUAAGGCCCUUUCGGGGGUACACGAGCGGCGAACGGGUGAGUAACACGCGGGUGACCUGCCCUCAGCUCUGGGAUAAGCCCGGGAAACUGGGUCUAAUACUGGAUAUUACUCUGCGGUGCAUGCCGUGGGGUGGAAAGCCUUGUGCGGCUAGGGAUGGGCCCGCGGCCUAUCAGCUUGUUGGUGGGGUGAUGGCCACCAAGGCGACGACGGGUAGCCGGCCUGAGAGGGCGACCGGCCACACUGGGACUGAGACACGGCCCAGACUCCUACGGGAGGCAGCAGUGGGGAAUCUUGCGCAAUGGGCGAAAGCCUGACGCAGCGACGCCGCGUGAGGGAUGACGGCC